RNAcentral lists this ribosomal RNA (253 nucleotides) under uncultured bacterium. RNAcentral's name for it is "partial 16S ribosomal RNA". It matches the Rfam family "Bacterial small subunit ribosomal RNA", at positions 524 to 776 of the family's 1533-position model. The record is from RNAcentral.
UACGAAGGGUGCAAGCGUUAAUCGGAAUUACUGGGCGUAAAGCGCGCGUAGGUGGUUCAGUAAGUUGGAAGUGAAAUCCCCGGGCUCAACCUGGGAACUGCUUUCAAAACUGCUGAGCUAGAGUACGGUAGAGGGUGGUGGAAUUUCCUGUGUAGCGGUGAAAUGCGUAGAUAUAGGAAGGAACACCAGUGCCGAAGGCGACCACCUGGACUGAUACUGACACUGAGGUGCGAAAGCGUGGGGAGCAAACAGG